Molecule: ribosomal RNA, 351 nt
Filed under: uncultured bacterium
Lineage: Bacteria
Description: bacterial SSU rRNA
Rfam family: Bacterial small subunit ribosomal RNA
Source: RNAcentral
GUAGUUAACACCUGCACUAUUUGACGUUACCUACAGAAGAAGCACCGGCUAACUCCGUGCCAGCAGCCGCGGUAAUACGGAGGGUGCGAGCGUUAAUCGGAAUUACUGGGCGUAAAAGCGCAUGCAGGCGGCCUGUUAAGUCAGAUGUGAAAAGCCCGGGCUUAAACCUCGGAAAUUGCAUUUGAAAACUGGCAGGCUAGAGUCUUGUAGAGGGGGUAGAAUUUCAGGUGUAGCGGUGAAAAUGCGUAGAGAUCUGAAGGAAUACCAGUGGCGAAGGCGGCCCCUGGACAAAGACUGACGCUCAGAUCGCGAAAGCGUGGGGAGCAAACCAGGAUUAGAUACCCUCGGUAG